RNAcentral lists this unclassified non-coding RNA (298 nucleotides) under uncultured Sordariaceae. RNAcentral describes it as "sequence contains ITS1". The stretch from base 1 to 105 matches the Rfam family "5.8S ribosomal RNA", at positions 50 to 154 of the family's 154-position model. Lineage: Eukaryota; Fungi; Ascomycota; Sordariomycetes; Sordariales. The record is from RNAcentral.
GAAGUGCGAUAAGCAAUGCGAAUUGCAGAAUUCCGUGAAUCAUCGAAUCUUUGAACGCACAUUGCGCCCGCCAGUAUUCUGGCGGGCAUGCCUGUUCGAGCGUCAUUUCAACCAUCAAGCCUUGCUUGCGUUGGGGAUCCGCGGCUGCCCGCGGUCCCUCAAAAACAGUGGCGGGCUCGCUAGUCACACCGAGCGUAGUAACUAUACAUCGCUAUGGUCGUGCGGCGGGUUCUUGCCGUAAAACCCCCCAAUUUCUAAGGUUGACCUCGGAUCAGGUAGGAAUACCCGCUGAACUUAA